CGACUAAUGAGAGGCUUUAUCCCCAGCUUGAGAUAAAGCCUCUCAUUAGUCGCG
Molecule: small RNA, 54 nt
Filed under: Serratia symbiotica str. Tucson
Lineage: Bacteria; Pseudomonadati; Pseudomonadota; Gammaproteobacteria; Enterobacterales; Yersiniaceae
Description: SraG RNA 3
Source: RNAcentral